Molecule: ribosomal RNA, 433 nt
Filed under: uncultured bacterium
Lineage: Bacteria
Description: partial 16S ribosomal RNA
Rfam family: Bacterial small subunit ribosomal RNA
Source: RNAcentral
AACGAACGCUGGCGGCAUGCCUAACACAUGCAAGUCGAACGAGACCUUCGGGUCUAGUGGCGCACGGGUGCGUAACGCGUGGGAACCUGCCCUUAGGUUCGGAAUAACUCCCCGAAAGGGGUGCUAAUACCGGAUAAUGUCUUCGGACCAAAGAUUUAUCGCCUUUGGAUGGGCCCGCGUUGGAUUAGCUAGUUGGUAGGGUAAAAGCCUACCAAGGCGACGAUCCAUAGCUGGUCUGAGAGGAUGAUCAGCCACACUGGGACUGAGACACGGCCCAGACUCCUACGGGAGGCAGCAGUAGGGAAUAUUGGACGAUGGGCGAAAGCCUGAUCCAGCAAUGCCGCGUGAGUGAUGAAGGCCUUAGGGUUGUAAAGCUCUUUUACCCGGGAUGAUAAUGACAGUACCGGGAGAAUAAGCACCGGCUAACUCCGUG